AUUAUUGGAGAGUUUGAUCCUGGCUCAGGAUGAACGCUGGCGGCGUGCCUAAUACAUGCAAGUCGAACGCGCUAACUUGUUAGCGAGUGGCGAACGG
This 97-nucleotide ribosomal RNA is filed under the name Acholeplasmataceae bacterium. RNAcentral's name for it is "partial 16S ribosomal RNA". It matches the Rfam family "Bacterial small subunit ribosomal RNA", at positions 1 to 105 of the family's 1533-position model. The record is from RNAcentral. Lineage: Bacteria; Bacillati; Mycoplasmatota; Mollicutes; Acholeplasmatales; Acholeplasmataceae.